GGGUUGUGAGGUUAAGCGACUAAGCGUACACGGUGGAUGCCCUGGCAGUCAGAGGCGAUGAAGGACGUGCUAAUCUGCGAUAAGCGUCGGUAAGGUGAUAUGAACCGUUAUAACCGGCGAUUUCCGAAUGGGGAAACCCAGUGUGAUUCGUCACACUAUCAUUAACUGAAUCCAUAGGUUAAUGAGGCGAACCGGGGGAACUGAAACAUCUAAGUACCCCGAGGAAAAGAAAUCAACCGAGAUUCCCCCAGUAGCGGCGAGCGAACGGGGAGCAGCCCAGAGCCUGAAUCAGUGUGUGUGUUAGUGGAAGCGUCUGGAAAGGCGCGCGAUACAGGGUGACAGCCCCGUACACAAAAAUGCACAUGCUGUGAGCUCGAUGAGUAGGGCGGGACACGUGGUAUCCUGUCUGAAUAUGGGGGGACCAUCCUCCAAGGCUAAAUACUCCUGACUGACCGAUAGUGAACCAGUACCGUGAGGGAAAGGCGAAAAGAACCCCGGCGAGGGGAGUGAAAAAGAACCUGAAACCGUGUACGUACAAGCAGUGGGAGCACGCUUAGGCGUGUGACUGCGUACCUUUUGUAUAAUGGGUCAGCGACUUAUAUUCUGUAGCAAGGUUAACCGAAUAGGGGAGCCGAAGGGAAACCGAGUCUUAACUGGGCGUUAAGUUGCAGGGUAUAGACCCGAAACCCGGUGAUCUAGCCAUGGGCAGGUUGAAGGUUGGGUAACACUAACUGGAGGACCGAACCGACUAAUGUUGAAAAAUUAGCGGAUGACUUGUGGCUGGGGGUGAAAGGCCAAUCAAACCGGGAGAUAGCUGGUUCUCCCCGAAAGCUAUUUAGGUAGCGCCUCGUGAAUUCAUCUCCGGGGGUAGAGCACUGUUUCGGCAAGGGGGUCAUCCCGACUUACCAACCCGAUGCAAACUGCGAAUACCGGAGAAUGUUAUCACGGGAGACACACGGCGGGUGCUAACGUCCGUCGUGAAGAGGGAAACAACCCAGACCGCCAGCUAAGGUCCCAAAGUCAUGGUUAAGUGGGAAACGAUGUGGGAAGGCCCAGACAGCCAGGAUGUUGGCUUAGAAGCAGCCAUCAUUUAAAGAAAGCGUAAUAGCUCACUGGUCGAGUCGGCCUGCGCGGAAGAUGUAACGGGGCUAAACCAUGCACCGAAGCUGCGGCAGCGACACUAUGUGUUGUUGGGUAGGGGAGCGUUCUGUAAGCCUGUGAAGGUGUGCUGUGAGGCAUGCUGGAGGUAUCAGAAGUGCGAAUGCUGACAUAAGUAACGAUAAAGCGGGUGAAAAGCCCGCUCGCCGGAAGACCAAGGGUUCCUGUCCAACGUUAAUCGGGGCAGGGUGAGUCGACCCCUAAGGCGAGGCCGAAAGGCGUAGUCGAUGGGAAACAGGUUAAUAUUCCUGUACUUGGUGUUACUGCGAAGGGGGGACGGAGAAGGCUAUGUUGGCCGGGCGACGGUUGUCCCGGUUUAAGCGUGUAGGCUGGUUUUCCAGGCAAAUCCGGAAAAUCAAGGCUGAGGCGUGAUGACGAGGCACUACGGUGCUGAAGCAACAAAUGCCCUGCUUCCAGGAAAAGCCUCUAAGCAUCAGGUAACAUCAAAUCGUACCCCAAACCGACACAGGUGGUCAGGUAGAGAAUACCAAGGCGCUUGAGAGAACUCGGGUGAAGGAACUAGGCAAAAUGGUGCCGUAACUUCGGGAGAAGGCACGCUGAUAUGUAGGUGAAGUCCCUCGCGGAUGGAGCUGAAAUCAGUCGAAGAUACCAGCUGGCUGCAACUGUUUAUUAAAAACACAGCACUGUGCAAACACGAAAGUGGACGUAUACGGUGUGACGCCUGCCCGGUGCCGGAAGGUUAAUUGAUGGGGUUAGCCGCAAGGCGAAGCUCUUGAUCGAAGCCCCGGUAAACGGCGGCCGUAACUAUAACGGUCCUAAGGUAGCGAAAUUCCUUGUCGGGUAAGUUCCGACCUGCACGAAUGGCGUAAUGAUGGCCAGGCUGUCUCCACCCGAGACUCAGUGAAAUUGAACUCGCUGUGAAGAUGCAGUGUACCCGCGGCAAGACGGAAAGACCCCGUGAACCUUUACUAUAGCUUGACACUGAACAUUGAGCCUUGAUGUGUAGGAUAGGUGGGAGGCUUUGAAGUGUGGACGCCAGUCUGCAUGGAGCCGACCUUGAAAUACCACCCUUUAAUGUUUGAUGUUCUAACGUUGACCCGUAAUCCGGGUUGCGGACAGUGUCUGGUGGGUAGUUUGACUGGGGCGGUCUCCUCCUAAAGAGUAACGGAGGAGCACGAAGGUUGGCUAAUCCUGGUCGGACAUCAGGAGGUUAGUGCAAUGGCAUAAGCCAGCUUGACUGCGAGCGUGACGGCGCGAGCAGGUGCGAAAGCAGGUCAUAGUGAUCCGGUGGUUCUGAAUGGAAGGGCCAUCGCUCAACGGAUAAAAGGUACUCCGGGGAUAACAGGCUGAUACCGCCCAAGAGUUCAUAUCGACGGCGGUGUUUGGCACCUCGAUGUCGGCUCAUCACAUCCUGGGGCUGAAGUAGGUCCCAAGGGUAUGGCUGUUCGCCAUUUAAAGUGGUACGCGAGCUGGGUUUAGAACGUCGUGAGACAGUUCGGUCCCUAUCUGCCGUGGGCGCUGGAGAACUGAGGGGGGCUGCUCCUAGUACGAGAGGACCGGAGUGGACGCAUCACUGGUGUUCGGGUUGUCAUGCCAAUGGCACUGCCCGGUAGCUAAAUGCGGAAGAGAUAAGUGCUGAAAGCAUCUAAGCACGAAACUUGCCCCGAGAUGAGUUCUCCCUGACCCUUUAAGGGUCCUGAAGGAACGUUGAAGACGACGACGUUGAUAGGCCGGGUGUGUAAGCGCAGCGAUGCGUUGAGCUAACCGGUACUAAUGAACCGUGAGGCUUAACCUUACAACGCCGAAG
RNAcentral lists this ribosomal RNA (2926 nucleotides) under Escherichia coli. Its description in RNAcentral is "bacterial LSU rRNA". It matches the Rfam family "Bacterial large subunit ribosomal RNA". The record is from RNAcentral. Lineage: Bacteria; Pseudomonadati; Pseudomonadota; Gammaproteobacteria; Enterobacterales; Enterobacteriaceae.